Molecule: transfer RNA, 67 nt
Filed under: Podagricomela nigricollis
Lineage: Eukaryota; Metazoa; Arthropoda; Insecta; Coleoptera; Chrysomelidae
Description: tRNA-Met
Source: RNAcentral
AAAAGAUAAGCUAAAUUAAGCUAAUGGGUUCAUACCCCAUUUAUAAAGGAUACUCCUUUUCUUUUUA